AUGAAAAAAGCCAUUGAAUUAACUAAAAAAGCAUAUAUAAGGGGAGUAAAAGCAAAAACCGCUAGUCGCCUCGAAGGAAAAGAAAUUGCACUCACCGAAUCCAUUAAAAAGGGUAGACUUCCCCUCCAAACAAUUCACGCUAAAAUUGAUCUACUUUUCCUACGAACCAAACAAGCCUUAACUAUACUCUCUCUUUUGUAA
RNAcentral lists this ribosomal RNA (201 nucleotides) under Triticum aestivum (bread wheat). RNAcentral's name for it is "partial small subunit ribosomal RNA". Lineage: Eukaryota; Viridiplantae; Streptophyta; Magnoliopsida; Poales; Poaceae. The record is from RNAcentral.